GACGAACGCUGGCGGCGUGCCUAAUACAUGCCAGUAGAACGCUGAAGGAGGAGCUUGCUUCUCUGGAUGAGUUGCGAACGGGUGAGUAACGCGUAGGUAACCUGCCUGGUAGCGGGGGAUAACUAUUGGAAACGAUAGCUAAUACCGCAUAAGAGUAGAUGUUGCAUGACAUUUGCUUAAAAGGUGCAAUUGCAUCACUACCAGAUGGACCUGCGUUGUAUUAGCUAGUUGGUGGGGUAACGGCUCACCAAGGCGACGAUACAUAGCCGACCUGAGAGGGUGAUCGGCCACACUGGGACUGAGACACGGCCCAGACUCCUACGGGAGGCAGCAGUAGGGAAUCUGCGGCAAGGGACGGAAGUCUGACCGAGCAACGCCGCGUGAGUGAAGAAGGUUGUCGGAUCGUAAAGCUCUGUUGUAAGAGAGGGACGAGUGUGAGAGUGGAAAGUUCACACUGUGACGGUAUCUUACCAGAAAGGGACGGCUAACUACGUG
This 495-nucleotide ribosomal RNA is filed under the name uncultured bacterium. RNAcentral describes it as "partial 16S ribosomal RNA". It matches the Rfam family "Bacterial small subunit ribosomal RNA", at positions 28 to 507 of the family's 1533-position model. The record is from RNAcentral.